This 229-nucleotide ribosomal RNA is filed under the name uncultured bacterium. RNAcentral describes it as "partial 16S ribosomal RNA". It matches the Rfam family "Bacterial small subunit ribosomal RNA", at positions 568 to 796 of the family's 1533-position model. The record is from RNAcentral.
UGCGUAGGCGGAAAAUUAAGUCAGUAGUGAAAUCCUGCAGCUCAACUGUAGAACUGUUAUUGAUACUGGUUUUCUUGAAUGUAGUCGAGGUAGGCGGAAUGUGUAAUGUAGCGGUGAAAUGCUUAGAUAUUACACAGAACACCGAUUGCGAAGGCAGCUUACUAAGCUACGAUUGACGCUGAGGUACGAAAGCGUGGGGAGCGAACAGGAUUAGAUACCCUGGUAGUCC